RNAcentral lists this ribosomal RNA (253 nucleotides) under uncultured bacterium. RNAcentral describes it as "partial 16S ribosomal RNA". It matches the Rfam family "Bacterial small subunit ribosomal RNA", at positions 524 to 776 of the family's 1533-position model. The record is from RNAcentral.
GACAGAGGGUGCAAACGUUGUUCGGAAUUACUGGGCGUAAAGCGUGCGUAGGUGGUUUGUUAAGUCCGAUGUGAAAGCCCUGGGCUCAACCUGGGAAUGGCAUUGGAUACUGGCAGGCUAGAGUGCGGUAGAGGGCAGUGGAAUUCCCGGUGUAGCAGUGAAAUGCGUAGAGAUCGGGAGGAACAUCUGUGGCGAAGGCGACUGCCUGGACCAGCACUGACACUGAGGCACGAAAGCGUGGGGAGCAAACAGG